Epilithonimonas sp. is the source of this 59-nucleotide non-coding RNA. Lineage: Bacteria; Pseudomonadati; Bacteroidota; Flavobacteriia; Flavobacteriales; Weeksellaceae. The record is from Rfam.
UAAACGGAGGAGAACUUUGACUGAUUGCAACCUCAAUAAAAAAUGCUAAAACAGAUUUU